This 866-nucleotide long non-coding RNA is filed under the name Homo sapiens (human). RNAcentral describes it as "long independently transcribed non-coding RNA 2674 (LINC02674)". The record is from RNAcentral. Lineage: Eukaryota; Metazoa; Chordata; Mammalia; Primates; Hominidae.
GGGGGGGUGGGGGGUGUCACAGAGCUGGGAACUCGCUCAGAGCCAGGGUCUCUGCUGGGGUCAGCGUCUGUACGCUAAAGCCAGGGCGCAAAGUGCGUGGGCACUGCGGACACUAGAGGCUUAUGGCGCUGGAAAUACAAGGCCGAGUUGCCGGCGCAAAGAGUUCCCCGGGCGGGUUGGUGAUGCGGCGCGCUUUGAUAACAGGUUAAUCCGGCCAACAUUCGCUCCGCGAGAGAGCCAUCGGAGGGCUCCGGGAGACUGCGGCGCCACGGAGGGAGAGGCGGCGAGAGGCCCCUCUGCGAGCACCCUCUGGGCGCAGUGCGGUGGGCUAUGCUCUGCGCAGCCCCGGGCGCGCCUGGGUUCUCAGAGCCCAAGACCUGAGCCGCUCCGAGCGCAGGGCGCCAGUUCUCUUUCAGAAGCGGGAGAAGUUCAGGUGCCCAACACCUUGAUCAGUGCCUGCUUUGUAGUAGGCAUUCAAAUACUGUGGACUGGAUGAAUGGAGUCACUUCCCUUCCAACCUGCACACCAACGUGGUUGAACUGCCUCCUUUCUAAGUGCCAAAGUCUGUUUUACAAGGCUGAUAUCAAAGGAGCAUUACAAAAUAUUGUCUAACAGAAGUACCAGGGCUGGAUCCCAAAGUUUUGUGUAGAUCUUGAUAAAGAGUUUGGAUUUUAUUCUAACAAGAGUGAAGAGCAUGACAAUGUUUGCAGAAGAGUGAUGGCUUCUUUCAGGCAACAGUGACAAUUACACCUCCUCUUUUUCUCUUUGAUCCUCCACCCUCUCCCUCCAGCACCUGGUACAAAGCUGGGUACCCAGCAGACACUCUGUAAAUUAAAGUGCUGCCAGCCUGAACAAUCUCAGUGGAA